RNAcentral lists this ribosomal RNA (1411 nucleotides) under Staphylococcus aureus. RNAcentral's name for it is "partial 16S ribosomal RNA". It matches the Rfam family "Bacterial small subunit ribosomal RNA", at positions 47 to 1409 of the family's 1533-position model. The record is from RNAcentral. Lineage: Bacteria; Bacillati; Bacillota; Bacilli; Caryophanales; Staphylococcaceae.
CAGGUUCCGUGGAGGCGGAACGAGACGAGAAGCUUGCUUCUCUGAUGUUAGCGGCGGACGUUGUGAGUAACACGUGGAUAACCUACCUAUAAGACUGGGAUAACUUCGGGAAACCGGAGCUAAUACCGGAUAAUAUUUUGAACCGCAUGGUUCAAAAGUGAAAGACGGUCUUGCUGUCACUUAUAGAUGGAUCCGUCGCUGCAUUAGGUCUAGUUGGUAAGGUAACGGCUUACCAAGGGCAACGAUGCAUAGCCGACCUGAGAGGGUGAUCGGCCACACAUCGGAACUGAGACACGGUCCUAGACUCCUACGGGAGGCAGCAGUAGGGAAUCUUCCGCAAUGGGCGAAAGCCUGACGGAGCAACGCCGCGUGAGUGAUGAAGGUCUUCGGAUCGUAAAACUCUGUUAUUAGGGAAGAACAUAUGUGUAAGUAACUGUGCACAUCUUGACGGUACCUAAUCAGAAAGCCACGGCUAACUACGUGCCAGCAGCCGCGGUAAUACGUAGGUGGCAAGCGUUAUCCGGAAUUAUUGGGCGUAAAGCGCGCGUAGGCGGUUUUUUAAGUCUGAUGUGAAAGCCCACGGCUCAACCGUGGAGGGUCAUUGGAAACUGGAAAACUUGAGUGCAGAAGAGGAGAGUGGAAUUCCAUGUGUAGCGGUGAAAUGCGCAGAGAUAUGGGAGGAACACCAGUGGCGAAGGCGACUUUCUGGUCUGUAACUGACGCUGAUGUGCGAAAGCGUGGGGAUCAAACAGGAUUAGAUACCCUGGUACUUCCACGCCGUAAACGAUGAGUGCUAAGUGUUAGGGGGGUUUCCGCCCCUCAUGGCUGCAGCUAACUGCAUUAAUCACUCCGGCCGGGGGAGUACGAGCGCAAGGUUGAUACUACAAGGAGUUGACGGGGACCCGCACGAGCGUUGGAGCAUGUGGUUUAGUUCGAAGCAACGCCGAGAACCUUACCAAAUCUUGACAUCCUUUGACAACUCUAGAGAGAAUGCUUUCCCCUUCCGCGGGGACGGAGUGACAGGUGGUGCUGUGGUUGUCGUCCUCCUCCCUCUCAUGACAUGCUUGGGUUAAUACCCCCACCGACCGCAACCCCUUAUCCUCAUUUGCCAUCAUUAGUUUAUCGCAUCGUAUAAGUCUAACUGUCCGCGUGACAGACCAGACGCGAAAGAAGGAUUGAGUGUCAGACUUCAUCAUCUCCCCUCUCAUUUGGGCUUCACACUUGCUACAAUGGACAAUACAAAGGGCAGCGAAACCGCGAGGUCAAGCAAAUCCCAUAAAGUUGUUCUCAGUUCGGAUUGUAGUCUGCAACUGACUACAUGAAGCAGGAAUCGCUAGUAAUCGUAGAUCUAGCCUGCUACUGGUGACUACUGUUCCCGGGUCGUUGUUCCACAACCCUGCCCCCCCCGUUA